This 278-nucleotide ribosomal RNA is filed under the name Faecalibacterium prausnitzii. RNAcentral describes it as "partial 16S ribosomal RNA". It matches the Rfam family "Bacterial small subunit ribosomal RNA", at positions 499 to 776 of the family's 1533-position model. The record is from RNAcentral. Lineage: Bacteria; Bacillati; Bacillota; Clostridia; Eubacteriales; Oscillospiraceae.
UAUGGUAUGCCAGCAGCCGCGGUAAAACGUAGGUCACAAGCGUUGUCCGGAAUUACUGGGUGUAAAGGGAGCGCAGGCGGGAAGACAAGUUGGAAGUGAAAUCUAUGGGCUCAACCCAUAAACUGCUUUCAAAACUGUUUUUCUUGAGUAGUGCAGAGGUAGGCGGAAUUCCCGGUGUAGCGGUGGAAUGCGUAGAUAUCGGGAGGAACACCAGUGGCGAAGGCGGCCUACUGGGCACCAACUGACGCUGAGGCUCGAAAGUGUGGGUAGCAAACAGG